CAGUGGCUGUGCACCAAAGAGGAACCUGCCUUACGGGCUGGGGAGCUGGGACACCCUGUUCUGGAGGCCCAGCCCGGAAGCGCCCUUGCAGGUGGCCUGGUUGCAGGGUUCCUCUUCUCUGAUGUCUGAGAGGGGAAUUCAGCAAGAAGGACUCAGUCUGGAGCUGCCCAACUUCCUCAUAAGGCAGCCUGUACGAACCAGGUGACACCUUCCCACCUCGGGUCCUUCGUCCUGGGUGACCGUCUGCGGUCCUCUGUCCCUGCCCCGGCUCUGGGUCCUGACCUGGGCUGCGGCCCCCUGAAGGUACAGAGCUCUGGCGUCCUGAGCAGCCCUGCCUGUCAGGGGCCCUGGCACUCGAAAGGAGCAGGGUGCGUGUGAUCCAAAGAGAUGAAAGCUUGACUCGUGGGCCUAGUGCGAUCCCACUUCUCCUGCGACAUCUCGGGGGGCCGGUGUCUCUCUGGCCGUGUGGGUCCCCCUGGCCUGGGCAGCAGCUCCUGUGGCUGGGUCCAUGACAUCGGCAGCCUCCAGAUUUCCCCAGGUUGGUGGGGCCUGGGGAGGUCGGAAGCACCUCCAUCAGCCAGCCAAGAGCACCUCACUCUGGAGGGGGCAGGAUGCAGCGUGGAGCACGCCCAGGAGAGGCAGCUCAGUCCCUUCUUUAAGGUCAGGGUGACCCCGGGUAUGUCUGGGACCGCAGGGACAGGGCUCAAGGAAGCUCCACUGCACAGUGCCCAGC
This 733-nucleotide long non-coding RNA is filed under the name Heterocephalus glaber (naked mole-rat). Its description in RNAcentral is "lncRNA (ENSHGLG00000047788.1)". The record is from RNAcentral. Lineage: Eukaryota; Metazoa; Chordata; Mammalia; Rodentia; Bathyergidae.